Molecule: unclassified non-coding RNA, 360 nt
Filed under: fungal sp.
Lineage: Eukaryota; Fungi
Description: partial internal transcribed spacer region
Rfam family: Eukaryotic small subunit ribosomal RNA (bases 1-46)
Source: RNAcentral
AAGUCGUAACAAGGUUUCCGUAGGUGAACCUGCGGAAGGAUCAUUAUAAAAUGCUUUUAAAAAGCACCCACCUUUUGUGCACUAGACCAUUUUGUAACUUUGGUGUGGUUUUCGAAAAUAUUUUUAUUAAUAUUUUUGAACUUCUUUCACUAUUAAUUUUAUAUAAAAUUUAUAUGUAUUUCAUUAGAUUUAUGUAUAUAAUUUUGUAUAGUUUUAUUUAGUGUCUAGAAGCGUGCCCACCAGAGGUUUAUAAUAAACAAACACUUUUCUAAAAUAACUUUGUCUGAUAAAUCUUAUUUCUUUUAUGAAAUAAAAAUCUUAAUUAAAAACAACUUUUAACAACGGAUCUCUUGGCUCUCC